GCCCCCGUAGCUCAACUGGAUAGAGCAACUCCCUUCUAAGGAGUAGGUUGUGAGUUCAAGUCUCGCCGGGGGUG
This 74-nucleotide transfer RNA is filed under the name Candidatus Gottesmanbacteria bacterium RBG_16_52_11. RNAcentral's name for it is "tRNA-Arg". It matches the Rfam family "tRNA". Rfam says of the family: Transfer RNA (tRNA) molecules are approximately 80 nucleotides in length. The record is from RNAcentral. Lineage: Bacteria; Candidatus Gottesmaniibacteriota.